CCUACGGGAGGCUGCAGUGGGGAAUAUUGGACAAUGGGCGAAAGCCUGAUCCAGCCAUGCCGCGUGUGUGAAGAAGGCCUUCGGGUUGUAAAGCACUUUCAGUGGGGAAGAAAGCCUUGGGGCUAAUACCCUCGAGGAAGGACAUCACCCACAGAAGAAGCACCGGCUAACUCCGUGCCAGCAGCCGCGGUAAUACGGAGGGUGCGAGCGUUAAUCGGAAUUACUGGGCGUAAAGCGCGCGUAGGCGGUCUGAUAAGCCGGUUGUGAAAGCCCCGGGCUCACCCUGGGAACGGCAUCCGGAACUGUCAGGCUAGAGUGCAGGAGAGGAAGGUAGAAUUCCCGGUGUAGCGGUGAAAUGCGUAGAGAUCGGGAGGAAUACCAGUGGCGAAGGCGGCCUUCUGGACUGACACUGACGCUGAGGUGCGAAAGCGUGGGUAGCAAACAGGAUUAGAUACCCUAGUAGUC
Molecule: ribosomal RNA, 465 nt
Filed under: Vreelandella stevensii
Lineage: Bacteria; Pseudomonadati; Pseudomonadota; Gammaproteobacteria; Oceanospirillales; Halomonadaceae
Description: partial 16S ribosomal RNA
Rfam family: Bacterial small subunit ribosomal RNA
Source: RNAcentral